AUGUCGCUCCGGCGGCGCCUCCUAGGCCUCUCCGCCCACAUCCGCCGCUCCCUCUCCACCGCCGCGGCCUCCUCGCAGUCGCACCCGCCAUGGGCGAUCAUCGACGGCACGUCGAUGGUCGACAGAUCGUCGUCGGCCCCGGUGGCGUGCUUCCGCCCCGUCCAGCCUCCAGGCGUCUCCGACUUCACGGCCCCGGCGCACCUCCUCAGCCCCAGACCACGCCCCGCCGCCCCCGACAGCAACGUCGUCCAGUCCCUCUUCGGCAGCGUCGGCGCCGUCAGCGGCGACGGCCACCUCCUCCUCACCUACCACGACCUCCGGGCGGAGGGCCCCUGCACCAAGUGGGAUUUCGCGCGGGACCUCGAAAUCCAGCGCUUCGUCUGCAACCCUGUCAGCGGGCAGAUGCUCCGCCUGCCCGACAUCGGCCGCUCCAGGAGGACCCUCGUCGUCCACCACAUGGGCCUCCUCACCCAGGGCGCCGGUGGCGGGCCGCCUGACAGGUUCGCCGUCGCCGAUCUCCUUUCCCAUGGCGCCAUCAUUCCGCGGUUUCUCUCGGAGGAAGGGGAGUGGAGGACGGUGAUUCGGGCCACACCAUCCUUACGGCUGCCGCGCCUGAUGGAGGUGAACCAGGAGACGGUUGCCUUCGGCGGCCGCCUGUGGUGGGUCGACCUCACCCUGGGCGCCAUCUCCGUCGACCCGUUCGACGACCGGCUGAAGACAAGCUUCGUCGAGCUGCCGAGCGGCAGCGUGCUGCCUGCGCGCGCACUUACAGACAGCCAACAUUUUGGGGACAGGCGUCGAGCUGCCGAUGACCAGAAUCUGUUCAUGCGGGAGGUGGCCAAGCACCGGCGCAUGGGCGUCAGCGAGGGGAGGCUGCGCUAUGCCGAGGUGUCUCCCCACGACCCGUUCGUGCUCAGCUGCUUUGCGCUCGACGACGAGGGCAGCAGCUGGACGCUGGAGCACGAGGUGGCGCUCAAGCAGGUCUUGGCUGAUGGAGGCUACCCGUCGGCGGCGCCACAGAUCGCCGUGCUUGACCCACUUCACACCAAUGCCAUCUACCUCAAGGUCGGUGAGCACCUCGUCGUCGUGGACAUUCACAAUGGGAAGGUGAUUGGGGCAUCGCCGCUUCAAGAGCAAUACCUCUCUCUUGUGUCAUGUGUGCUUCCACCAUGGCUUAGAUCAAGCCAGAUCCCUACGGCAGGCAAGAGGGAUGACAUGGAAGCGACAGAUGAUCUGGUUAGUUGCAUCUAG
RNAcentral lists this ribosomal RNA (1251 nucleotides) under Triticum aestivum (bread wheat). Its description in RNAcentral is "partial small subunit ribosomal RNA". The record is from RNAcentral. Lineage: Eukaryota; Viridiplantae; Streptophyta; Magnoliopsida; Poales; Poaceae.